CUUCUCCCACUGGGGUCCAAGCAAGUGCUGCCUGCCCAGGUGGACAGGGCACAGGCUGCUGGAAUCACCCCAGAGGGAAGAUGGGUGUUUCCCAGGGACUGUGGAUUUUGUGUGUGUGCGCACCUUUGGAGCUAGGUUCUCGGCACAGUAUCUCCAUCUACUGCCUGCAGGGUGUUCCCAGCUCCUGGCACCUGCACAGAGUAGUGCUUGCUACCUUUUCUUGUUGUCCGAUGGAGGAAAGAGGAAAGGAAAAGCGAUAAAGACUGGCACACUGAGGUACAGCGGCAGGAAGGAACUGGUCCAAGCCUUUCGAAAGGUUGCAAGAAACACCGGACACAUUCCAGCGUCCUGACUUUUUCCAAGAUGCUCUGCUACCACAGUCUCUAGAGCCCAACAUACACACAGCCAGGAGUCAUGAGGACAUCACAGCCCUCCGGCCUCCCUCCCCGUUGCCACCCAGCUAGUGCCGUCUUUAGCACUGUCCCCACUCUGGUACCAAAUUCUGGGGCUCUCCCAGGCUUCUCAUCUCAGAUCACGGGCCCAUGUUCACCCAGAUGCUCCAAGCUCACCCAGAAGCAGGGGAGUAAUCCUUUGAGUCUCUUACUUCCUGAAAGCUCAUGUCAGCAGAUCCUGGUGUUCCGAACUCCAAAAGGUGCUCCCCCCGCUCUAUGCACACCUCUCCAUUUGCACCAACACUACUAGCCUGGGCCAUUUUCUUCUUUUACCUGGACAACUAGUCUCGUCUGCCUGCGUCACUAUUCCCCUAAAGAUCUAGUCUUCCUGCACCAACCACAGGGAUGUUGAAAAGGUAGAAAUGGUAGUAUUUUACUACCCUAUUCAAAACCCUCAUUCACUCCCCAUCACACACAAAAUAAGACCUGGACUCUGGCCACAAGCCCGGAAGGACUCCCGGCCUCCUAGCUCCUGCCUACCUUCCUAUCUUCCACCACUGCCUGGACGCCAACUCACUCCAUCUCAAGCUUGCCAUUGACCCUUCCCUCCACUGGAUGCACCUUUGCAGACAGACUUUGAGUGGUUAGCUUCCUUCAUUCACUCGAAUCUCUCCUCAAGUGUCACCUGCCCUGGGAGGACCCCUCCCCAGCACCUCCUGUUGUUCUGUUUCAUUCUUUUUUGGCCGUUUCUUCCAGCAGACUGUAAAUCCCAUGGUGGCAGGAGCCUGAUACUCAUGGCUGUGUCCGCAGGGCCCAGCACAGGGUCCAGUACAUAGAGAGUGGGUCGUUAUUACCAGCUACAGACCCUUCAAAAAGAGGAGAUUUUAUCAUGGAUGGAGCAGCGCCGACCUAACCCCCCCUUGAGCCUCUAAGCUCCUUAUACUUCCUGCUGGCACCACCCCUCUCCCUACAUCUUUCUGGGGUUAUCUGGAGCUGGUCUGCAGCCAGGAAUGCCAUACUUUGCUAAUCUUUUCAGGGGCCUGAACAAUCCCUAAAGUCACGGGGUGGGAGGUGCUCCCUCAGGAUCUCAGCUGGCUGUGCAGAAAUCAGGACUCCCUGACCCAAGCCACUCCCAGGCCCUUUUACCUCACCUUCCA
This is a non-coding RNA of Callorhinus ursinus (northern fur seal), 1549 nucleotides long. NCBI's taxonomy places the organism in Eukaryota, Metazoa, Chordata, Mammalia, Carnivora, Otariidae. The record is from RefSeq and is a predicted model, not a curated record.